Molecule: long non-coding RNA, 461 nt
Filed under: Cottoperca gobio
Lineage: Eukaryota; Metazoa; Chordata; Actinopteri; Perciformes; Bovichtidae
Description: lncRNA (ENSCGOG00000013730.1)
Source: RNAcentral
ACAUCAGCCUGGAGGGCGUCACCUUCAGCGAGGCAGCAGAGGUCAUGCAGAGCAGCCCUGAGGAAGUGCAGCUCAUCAUCUCACAGCCGAAAGUCCCAACUCUGAGUCCCAACAGUGUUCGCUCUCCCGUGUUCAGGAGUUACGAAUGCCAGACCACGCUGAUGACGGACGGACGCUCAGUUGACGACAGUUUGGAUGAGAUUGUCUCGGUUAUGAUGACACCGAAGACCAGCAACAGGCUUCACGUCCCCCGAGACGUACGAGCCGUCGGUACACAGGACAGCUGCUCUCUGUCUCCGUCUCUAAACUGUGUGAGGCCGAGCGAGAUCACCGUGGAGAUCAGAAAGAUAUCAGGAAGUCUGGGCGUCAGCAUCGCUGUGAGUUUCUGAAAGAUUUUGCAGAAGAUGCACCUGCACCUGGACUGCUGUCGCUCCGUUUUCUGCUUUAGUUUAUCAUUAUGA